UCUAAAAUGGCAGAUAAAUGUAGUAGGUUUAGGACCUACCUAUGGGAAUAAAAUUCUCUUUUAGA
Molecule: transfer RNA, 65 nt
Filed under: Calcinus obscurus
Lineage: Eukaryota; Metazoa; Arthropoda; Malacostraca; Decapoda; Diogenidae
Description: tRNA-Leu
Source: RNAcentral